Molecule: ribosomal RNA, 253 nt
Filed under: uncultured bacterium
Lineage: Bacteria
Description: partial 16S ribosomal RNA
Rfam family: Bacterial small subunit ribosomal RNA
Source: RNAcentral
UACGGGGGGAGCAAGCGUUGUUCGGAUUUACUGGGCGUAAAGGGCGCGUAGGCGGCCAAACAAGUCACUUGUGAAAUCUCCGGGCUUAACUCGGAAAGGUCAAGUGAUACUGUCUGGCUAGAGUGCGGAAGGGGCAACUGGAAUUCUCGGUGUAGCGGUGAAAUGCGUAGAUAUCGAGAGGAACACCUGCGGCGAAGGCGGGUUGCUGGGCCGACACUGACGCUGAUGCGCGAAAGCUAGGGGAGCGAACGGG